RNAcentral lists this ribosomal RNA (452 nucleotides) under Staphylococcus aureus. RNAcentral's name for it is "bacterial SSU rRNA". It matches the Rfam family "Bacterial small subunit ribosomal RNA", at positions 395 to 838 of the family's 1533-position model. Lineage: Bacteria; Bacillati; Bacillota; Bacilli; Caryophanales; Staphylococcaceae. The record is from RNAcentral.
CGCCGCGUGAGUGAUGAAGGUCUUCGGAUCGUAAAACUCUGUUAUUAGGGAAGAACAUACGUGUAAGUAACUAUGCACGUCUUGACGGUACCUAAUCAGAAAGCCACGGCUAACUACGUGCCAGCAGCCGCGGUAAUACGUAGGUGGCAAGCGUUAUCCGGAAUUAUUGGGCGUAAAGCGCGCGUAGGCGGUUUUUUAAGUCUGAUGUGAAAGCCCACGGCUCAACCGUGGAGGGUCAUUGGAAACUGGAAAACUUGAGUGCAGAAGAGGAAAGUGGAAUUCCAUGUGUAGCGGUGAAAUGCGCAGAGAUAUGGAGGAACACCAGUGGCGAAGGCGACUUUCUGGUCUGUAACUGACGCUGAUGUGCGAAAGCGUGGGGAUCAAACAGGAUUAGAUACCCUGGUAGUCCACGCCGUAAACGAUGAGUGCUAAGUGUUAGGGGGUUUCCGCCC